Non-coding RNA from Parasteatoda tepidariorum (common house spider), 283 nucleotides. Lineage: Eukaryota; Metazoa; Arthropoda; Arachnida; Araneae; Theridiidae. The record is from RefSeq and is a predicted model, not a curated record.
UUUAGGUAUCUGAUAUGACUGUGAAAAACUAUGGUUAAAUCUGGAUAAAACAGUCAAUUGUCAAAUGUGUGCCAACUUUGACUUUAGUGGUUUGUCAGUUUUCUCCACUGUGAAUAAACCUUGUCCUCUUUGCUUCAAUUUUGAUUUUUUUCCCUGGCAUGAAAAUUUACUUCAUUUCGAUGAAAGCAUAUUCUCAGUUAAAUAGUUUGAAAUGGCUUUUUUCAAAGUACACUGGAUGAUGAACACAGGUUCUGGAUCUAUUUAUCCUUGUGGUAUCGGUGCA